This 452-nucleotide ribosomal RNA is filed under the name uncultured bacterium. Its description in RNAcentral is "partial 16S ribosomal RNA". It matches the Rfam family "Bacterial small subunit ribosomal RNA", at positions 28 to 506 of the family's 1533-position model. The record is from RNAcentral.
GAUGAACGCUGACAGAAUGCUUAACACAUGCAAGUCCACUUGAACUUCGGUUUGGGUGGCGGACGGGUGAGUCACGCGUAAAGAACUUGCCUCACAGAUAGGGACAACAUUUGGAAACGAAUGCUAAUACCUGAUAUUAUGAUUAUAUGGCAUCGUAUAAUUAUGAAAGCUAUAUGCGCUGUGAGAGAGCUUUGCGUCCCAUUAGCUAGUUGGAGAGGUAACGGCUCACCAAGGCGAUGAUGGGUAGCCGGCCUGAGAGGGUGAUCGGCCACAAGGGGACUGAGACACGGCCCUUACUCCUACGGGAGGCAGCAGUGGGGAAUAUUGGACAAUGGACCAAGAGUCUGAUCCAGCAAUUCUGUGUGCACGAUGAAGUUUUUCGGAAUGUAAAGUGCUUUCAGUUGGGAAGAAAAAAUGACGGUACCAACAGAAGAAGUGACGGCUAAAUACGU